CGGGAUGUGGCGCAGCUUGGUAGCGCGCAUGGUUCGGGACCAUGAGGCCGCGAGUUCAAAUCUCGCCAUCCCGACCA
RNAcentral lists this transfer RNA (77 nucleotides) under bacterium. Its description in RNAcentral is "tRNA-Pro". It matches the Rfam family "tRNA". Rfam says of the family: Transfer RNA (tRNA) molecules are approximately 80 nucleotides in length. Their secondary structure includes four short double-helical elements and three loops (D, anti-codon, and T loops). Further hydrogen bonds mediate the characteristic L-shaped molecular structure. tRNAs have two regions of fundamental functional importance: the anti-codon, which is responsible for specific mRNA codon recognition, and the 3' end, to which the tRNAs corresponding amino acid is attached (by aminoacyl-tRNA synthetases). tRNAs cope with the degeneracy of the genetic code in two manners: having more than one tRNA (with a specific anti-codon) for a particular amino acid; and 'wobble' base-pairing, i.e. permitting non-standard base-pairing at the 3rd anti-codon position. The record is from RNAcentral. RNAcentral also lists the same sequence under 3 other names.